ACUAUAUCUAGUGUUCGAGGUUCUUUCGAUUCGCAUGGGUCGAAAGCUAAGAUGGGAAUUCGGUGCGCGACGCUCAUGAUGAGUGCGCAAUGCCGGAGCUGCCCCCGCAACUGUAAGCGGCGAGCAUCCGCUCAAAUCAGCCACUGACGCCGGAAGGCGUCGGGAAGGCGAGUUGGAUGCUGCGACCCGUGAGCCAGGAGACCUGCCUCAAAACGAAAACGUCC
Molecule: non-coding RNA, 224 nt
Filed under: Rhizobium sp.
Lineage: Bacteria; Pseudomonadati; Pseudomonadota; Alphaproteobacteria; Hyphomicrobiales; Rhizobiaceae
Source: RNAcentral